RNAcentral lists this ribosomal RNA (468 nucleotides) under uncultured bacterium. RNAcentral's name for it is "partial 16S ribosomal RNA". It matches the Rfam family "Bacterial small subunit ribosomal RNA", at positions 28 to 507 of the family's 1533-position model. The record is from RNAcentral.
GACGAACGCUGGCGGCGUGCUUUACACAUGCAAGUCGAACGGAAAGGCCCUGCUUUUGUGGGGUGCUCGAGUGGCGAACGGGUGAGUAACACGUGAGUAACCUGCCCUUGACUUUGGGAUAACUUCAGGAAACUGGGGCUAAUACCGGAUAGGAGCUCCUGCUGCAUGGUGGGGGUUGGAAAGUUUCGGCGGUUGGGGAUGGACUCGCGGCUUAUCAGCUUGUUGGUGGGGUAGUGGCUUACCAAGGCUUUGAUGGGUAGCCGGCCUGAGAGGGUGACCGGCCACAUUGGGACUGAGAUACGGCCCAGACUCCUACGGGAGGCAGCAGUGGGGAAUAUUGCACAAUGGGCGGAAGCCUGAUGCAGCAACGCCGCGUGCGGGAUGACGGCCUUCGGGUUGUAAACCGCUUUCGCCUGUGACGAAGCGUGAGUGACGGUAAUGGGUAAAGAAGCACCGGCUAACUACGUG